GAGUUUGAUCGUGGCUCAGGACGAACGCUGGCGGCAGGCCUAACACAUGCAAGUCGAACGAGAAACCAGAGCUUGCUCUGGUGGACAGUGGCAGACGGGUGAGUAACGCGUGGGAAUAUACCCAGUAGUACGGGAAUAGCCUUUUGGAAACGGAGAGUAAUACCGUAUACGCCCUUCGGGUAAGGAUUUAUUCGCUAUUGGAGUAGCCCGCCGUUAGAUUAGAUAGUUGGUGGGGUAAGUAGGCCUACCAAGUCGACGAUCUAUAGCUGGUUUGUAGAGGAGUGAUCAGCCA
This 292-nucleotide ribosomal RNA is filed under the name uncultured microorganism. RNAcentral's name for it is "partial 16S ribosomal RNA". It matches the Rfam family "Bacterial small subunit ribosomal RNA", at positions 9 to 310 of the family's 1533-position model. The record is from RNAcentral.